GGAGGGAUGCGUGAGCGGUUGAAACGGGCGGUCUUGAAAACCGCUGUACGGGAAACCGUACCGGGGGUUCGAAUCCCUCUCCCUCCGCCA
This 90-nucleotide transfer RNA is filed under the name Candidatus Sulfotelmatobacter kueseliae. RNAcentral's name for it is "tRNA-Ser". It matches the Rfam family "tRNA". From Rfam's summary of the family: Transfer RNA (tRNA) molecules are approximately 80 nucleotides in length. Their secondary structure includes four short double-helical elements and three loops (D, anti-codon, and T loops). The record is from RNAcentral. RNAcentral also lists the same sequence under 2 other names. Lineage: Bacteria; Pseudomonadati; Acidobacteriota; Terriglobia; Terriglobales; Candidatus Korobacteraceae.